GCUAUAAUGCAGUCGAGCGCGGGAAGCGAGUGGAUCCCUUCGGGGUGAAGCUCGUGGAACGAGCGGCGGACGGGUGAGUAACACGUGGGCAACCUGCCUGUAAGAUCGGAAUAACCCCGGGAAACCGGGGCUAAUGCCGGGUAAUACUUUCUUUCGCAUGAAGGAAAGUUGAAAGAUGGCUUCUCGCUAUCACUUACAGAUGGGCCCGCGGCGCAUUAGCUAGUUGGUGAGGUAACGGCUCACCAAGGCGACGAUGCGUAGCCGACCUGAGAGGGUGAUCGGCCACACUGGGACUGAGACACGGCCCAGACUCCUACGGGAGGCAGCAGUAGGGAAUCUUCCGCAAUGGACGAAAGUCUGACGGAGCAACGCCGCGUGAACGAUGAAGGUCUUCGGAUCGUAAAGUUCUGUUGUUAGGGAAGAACAAGUACCGUGCGAAUAGAGCGGUACCUUGACGGUACCUAACGAGGAAGCCCCGGCUAACUACGUGCCAGCAGCCGCGGUAAUACGUAGGGGGCAAGCGUUGUCCGGAAUUAUUGGGCGUAAAGCGCGCGCAGGCGGUUCCUUAAGUCUGAUGUGAAAGCCCACGGCUCAACCGUGGAGGGUCAUUGGAAACUGGGGAACUUGAGGACAGAAGAGGAGAGUGGAAUUCCACGUGUAGCGGUGAAAUGCGUAGAUAUGUGGAGGAACACCAGUGGCGAAGGCGACUCUCUGGUCUGUUUCUGACGCUGAGGUGCGAAAGCGUGGGUAGCAAACAGGAUUAGAUACCCUGGUAGUCCACGCCGUAAACGAUGAGUGCUAGGUGUUAGGGGGCUUCCACCCCUUAGUGCUGAAGUUAACGCAUUAAGCACUCCGCCUGGGGAGUACGGCCGCAAGGCUGAAACUCAAAGGAAUUGACGGGGGCCCGCACAAGCGGUGGAGCAUGUGGUUUAAUUCGAAGCAACGCGAAGAACCUUACCAGGUCUUGACAUCCUUGGACAAUCCUAGAGAUAGGACUUUCCCUUCGGGGACCAAGUGACAGGUGGUGCAUGGUUGUCGUCAGCUCGUGUCGUGAGAUGUUGGGUUAAGUCCCGCAACGAGGGCAACCCCUAAUCUUAGUUGCCAGCAUUCAGUUGGGCACUCUAAGGUGACUGCCGGUGACAAACCGGAGGAAGGCGGGGAUGACGUCAAAUCAUCAUGCCCCUUAUGACCUGGGCUACCACCGUGCUACAAUGGAUGGUACAAAGGGCACCGAAACCCCGAGGGUUAACAAAUCCCAUAAAACCUUUCCCAGUUCGGAUUGCAGGGUGGAACUCCCCCGGUAAGAAACCGGAAUUCCUUUGAAACCCGGGAA
Molecule: ribosomal RNA, 1333 nt
Filed under: Halobacillus trueperi
Lineage: Bacteria; Bacillati; Bacillota; Bacilli; Caryophanales; Bacillaceae
Description: bacterial SSU rRNA
Rfam family: Bacterial small subunit ribosomal RNA
Source: RNAcentral